GAUGAACGCUGGCGGCGUGCCUAAUACAUGCAAGUCGAGCGAACAGACGAGGAGCUUGCUCCUCUGACGUUAGCGGCGGACGGGUGAGUAACACGUGGAUAACCUACCUAUAAGACUGGGAUAACUUCGGGAAACCGGAGCUAAUACCGGAUAAUAUAUUGAACCGCAUGGUUCAAUAGUGAAAGACGGUUUUGCUGUCACUUAUAGAUGGAUCCGCGCUGCAUUAGCUAGUUGGUAAGGUAACGGCUUACCAAGGCAACGAUGCGUAGCCGACCUGAGAGGGUGAUCGGCCACACUGGAACUGAGACACGGUCCAGACUCCUACGGGAGGCAGCAGUAGGGAAUCUUCCGCAAUGGGCGAAAGCCUGACGGAGCAACGCCGCGUGAAUGAUGAAGGUCUUCGGAUCGUAAAACUCUGUUAUUAGGGAAGAACAAAUGUGUAAGUAACUAUGCACGUCUUGACGGUACCUAAUCAGAAAGCCACGGCUAACUACGUG
Molecule: ribosomal RNA, 497 nt
Filed under: uncultured bacterium
Lineage: Bacteria
Description: partial 16S ribosomal RNA
Rfam family: Bacterial small subunit ribosomal RNA
Source: RNAcentral